Molecule: non-coding RNA, 80 nt
Organism: Podarcis lilfordi (Lilford's wall lizard)
Lineage: Eukaryota; Metazoa; Chordata; Lepidosauria; Squamata; Lacertidae
Source: the annotation of a GenBank genome assembly
GGUCUGCAGCUCAGUGGUAAGAUUGUCUGCCUUGCAUGCAGAAGGUCCCAGGUUCAGUCCCUGGCAUCCCAGGCGGAGCU